UACGGGGGGGGCAAGCGUUGUUCGGAAUUACUGGGCGUAAAGGGCUCGUAGGCGGCCAACUAAGUCAGGCGUGAAAUCCCUCGGCUUAACCGGGGAACUGCGUCUGAUACUGGAUGGCUGGAGUUUGGGAGAGGGAUGCGGAAUUCCAGGUGUAGCGGUGAAAUGCGUAGAUAUCUGGAGGAACACCGGUGGCGAAGGCGGCAUCCUGGACCAAUACUGACGCUGAGGAGCGAAAGCCAGGGGAGCAAACGGG
This 253-nucleotide ribosomal RNA is filed under the name uncultured bacterium. RNAcentral describes it as "partial 16S ribosomal RNA". It matches the Rfam family "Bacterial small subunit ribosomal RNA", at positions 524 to 776 of the family's 1533-position model. The record is from RNAcentral.